This 1897-nucleotide long non-coding RNA is filed under the name Piliocolobus tephrosceles (Ugandan red Colobus). RNAcentral describes it as "lncRNA (ENSPTEG00000015495.1)". Lineage: Eukaryota; Metazoa; Chordata; Mammalia; Primates; Cercopithecidae. The record is from RNAcentral.
AUAAACGAUUGAACUGAUAAGUAACUGAUCUACCUAUCAAGCAAGGAACUGACCGGACAAGUAAAACAUGAUGAAACAAGAGAGCUGUUUAAUUUCCCUGUUUUCUACCAUUGAAGAGUUUUAUAAUUACUGCACUGUUUACAAAAAAACAUAUUCCACUUUUUUUGCUUACUCUGAUGAUGAUGUACUUACGAAAAAUAAAAAAAUAAAAAACUCGCAUGAUUUUCAAGAGUUUCAAAACCAACUACAAAGUUUUAUUAAGAAGCUGUGUACUUUUCAAAAACACAUUUUAAAAGAAAAUAAAAAAAGCACGAGGAAUAACGAAAAAUCAAAUAACGAAAAAUCAAAUAACGAAAAAUCAAAUAACGAAAAAUCAAAUAACAAAAAAUCAAACAACGACGAAUUAAACAAUGACGAAUUAAACAAUGACGAAUUAAAUCAAUGGAAAAAUGAUGCUUCACUAAACAGUAGUUCAAUUUAUAGUCCAUUUCCUUCUAAUAAAAGUAUUUAUAAAAAUAAUGAUAGAUUAAAUAAAAGUAUAAGUUAUAAAAGUACAUAUGAUUUAGAUCAUGUAUGUGACAUAAAUGAAGGUAAAUAUAAAAAGAAUGAGUUAGGUAAUAGUAGUUUAUCUGAUUUUUAUCAAAGUAUUAGUGAAUUUUAUAAGAGUAAAGAAACUAAUACUAACAUGGAUGAAGAUCUUAACAACAAUAGUAACAAUAAUAACGACAAUGGUGGAGAUAUUCGUUACAGUACAUUUGGUAAUGACAGCUUAAAUAAUAGCAGUAAUGGUAACAUAUUAUAUGAUAAAAUUAGUAAUAUUUAUUUAAAUAGUAAUGGAACCAUCAUAAAUAAUAGUCAUAGUAUUAACCAAAAAAUUAACCAAAAAAUAAACCAAAAAAUUAAACAAAAAAUUAACCAAAAAAUAAACCCAAAAGAAGAUAAACAAUACUUAGUUAAUUUAUGUGAAGAUGACGAAUUGUCCAAUGCUAUAACAUUAAAAUGUAAAACUGGUCUAACCCAGGGACUGAAUAUUGACGAAUACUCCUAUGAAGAUAACAAUAUAAUGUCUAGUGUUGAUAAUGUUACAAAGAAUAAUGAAUUUAAAAAAAAGUAUGAAGAAGAGGAAAAGGUUUGGAUGGUUGAAUAUUGUAAUGGAGGAGAUUAUAAUUCAUUUAGAACUAAGCAGAGAGAUAAAAGAACAGAAUAUCUUUGUUCUGAUUGGGAUAAUUUGACAGGUUAUUAUACAAAAGGGAAAUGUAAUAAUCAAUAUGUCGUUGAUUUGGAAAAAACAAAGCCAGAUUUGGGGAAAACAAAGCCAAAUUUGGGGAAAACAAAGCCAAAUUUGGGGGAAAAUGAAUCGAGUAGGAGUGAUAGGAAAGCUUGUCAAAAAUCACAUACCAAUAAUAUAUUUUAUGACACACAUAACACACUUAACUUAAAAGUUAUUUACGAAAAAAAUAAAAUCGAAUUUGUGUCUCAAAAGGAAUUGUGUUUUUUCGAAGGACAGAUUAUUAUAAAUAAAUAUAAAGUAAUAAAAGUUUUAUCUAAAACUGAAUUUAGUACUACUUUAAAGUGUUUAAAUUUGCAUUAUAGGAAGGGAAAACAAUCAGAAAAUGAACAACAUCAGACAAGUAAUUAUUUUAUAAAUAAAAAGGAUUAUGAAAAUGGCGAUAACACAUAUGUUAGUUUAUCAUAUUUGGAUGAAAAAAAUGUUAUAAAUAGUGGAAGUAGUAAUAGUAGUAGUAGUAGUAGUAGUGGUAGUGGUAGUAGUAGUGACAACUGGUAUGAUGGGCCAAACCAAAUGGACUCUUUUGGAAAAAGAAAUAAACAUUCAACAAAACAAAACAUAGGAAGAAAAGAAAGAAAAAAAAAAAAAAUUACAAGUAUGUAUGUUUAA